AAUUGAAUAGUUUGGGCACUCAUUCUUCUGCUUUAUCUAUCAUGGAGAGCAGCAAAAGAUCAGGUCAGCUAAGCAGGUGGGAAGGAAAAUGCCUACAAGCGUAUGUCAGCAGCCAGCCCAGCCAGCACUCACUCCCCAUUAUAGUCAGUGGGAGAACAGAAGGCUACCCAAUAGCUCUGCCUGUUAAAGUGGAGAGUAAACUUAUUUUUUGCUAGCUUGAAACCAGGCGAAAGUGUAAUAGGAACAAAGUCUGAGGACUGAGAUAUUAAGGUUGUUCAAGCCUUAAAUAUUUGUUGAUCAUCAGGAAAGCAAACUUCAGAACUCAAGCUGUGAUCUGGUCCCUCACUUGCCCCGGACUCAACCACAACUUGUAUUUAUAUAGCGUCUUUCAUAUAAGAGAACAUCUCAAAGUUCUUUGCAGCGUGAACCUUGAGUAAGAUGGGAGAUGACCGAGGUUUUUUAGACAGGUUUUCAAAGCAGAGCUAAAG
Callorhinchus milii (elephant shark) is the source of this 488-nucleotide long non-coding RNA. RefSeq lists it as uncharacterized. The transcript has 3 exons. NCBI's taxonomy places the organism in Eukaryota, Metazoa, Chordata, Chondrichthyes, Chimaeriformes, Callorhinchidae. The record is from RefSeq and is a predicted model, not a curated record.